GUCCCCAUCGUCUAGAGGCCUAGGACACCGCCCUUUCACGGCGACAACCGGGGUUCGAAUCCCCGUGGGGACGCCA
Molecule: transfer RNA, 76 nt
Filed under: Gammaproteobacteria bacterium
Lineage: Bacteria; Pseudomonadati; Pseudomonadota; Gammaproteobacteria
Also listed under: 3 other names
Description: tRNA-Glu
Rfam family: tRNA
About the family: Transfer RNA (tRNA) molecules are approximately 80 nucleotides in length.
Source: RNAcentral